GUGUCCCAGGUAACUGUCCCCAUGUCCUGCUAACACCAGGUACCUGUCCCCGUGUCCCAUGUACCUGUCCCCAUGUCCUGCUACAACCAGGUCCCUGUCCCCAUGUCCUGCUACAACCAGGUCCCUGUCCCCAUGUCCUGGUACAACCAGGUCCCUGUCCCCAUGUCCUGCUACAACCAGGUAACUGUCCCCAUGUCCUGCUAACACCAGGUACCUGUCCCCGUGUCCCAUGUACCUGUCCCCAUGUCCUGCUACAACCAGGUCCCUUUCCCCAUGUCCUGGUACAACCAGGUCCCUGUCCCCAUGUCCUGCUACAACCAGGUCCCUUUCCCCAUGUCCUGGUACAACCAGGUCCCUGUCCCCAUGUUCUGCUACAACCAGGUACCGGUCCCCAUGUCCUGCUACAACCAGGUACCGGUCCCCAUGUCCUGCUACAACCAGGUACCGGUCCCCAUGUCCUGCUACAACCAGAUACCGGUCCCCAUGUCCUGCUACAACUAGGUACCUGUCCCC
Long non-coding RNA from Etheostoma spectabile (orangethroat darter), 513 nucleotides. RefSeq lists it as uncharacterized. The transcript has 3 exons. NCBI's taxonomy places the organism in Eukaryota, Metazoa, Chordata, Actinopteri, Perciformes, Percidae. The record is from RefSeq and is a predicted model, not a curated record.